Agelaius phoeniceus (red-winged blackbird) is the source of this 467-nucleotide long non-coding RNA. RefSeq lists it as uncharacterized. The record is from RefSeq and is a predicted model, not a curated record. NCBI's taxonomy places the organism in Eukaryota, Metazoa, Chordata, Aves, Passeriformes, Icteridae.
AGGCGCGCCCGGCUGCGCGGAGCCCUGAGCGGAGCCCGGGGCCAGAGUGUCCUGGCUGCCAGCUCCAGUCACGGGGCUCGUUCGCUUCGCUGCCCUUAAAAACACGCGGGGAAAGGCACCCCCCGCGGGCCGGGCGAGGGUCUGUGGGGACCCUUCCGCCUCUCUCCGGGGGCUCGGGCAGGGCCACGCCGUGUCCCAGCGCGCCUCCAAUUUAAAACUCAGGGCUUUGCCUCCCUGCCCCACCAACAUCUGCUUCUGCAGAACCAAACUAACCACCAGUGCCGGCCUCGGGUGGCGGCGCCCAUGGGGACAGAUGUUGGAGCGGCACAAAAAUAAGAGCUUCAAACAGCUCCUUCCCCCUGCCCUGGCCUCACCUCUCCCUCCGAAAAGGAGAUGAGAACUGAGGACGAGGUGCCAAACACGACUUCAAACAGCAUCUAAUAAAACACGGGAUUAAUUUCUUCUGA